GAUGAAGAACGUAGCGAAAUGCGAUAAGUAAUGUGAAUUGCAGAAUUCAGUGAAUCAUCGAAUCUUUGAACGCACAUUGCGCCCGCUAGUAUUCUGGCGGGCAUGCCUGUCCGAGCGUCAUUUCAACCCUCAAGCCCCCGGGCUUGGUGUUGGGGAUCGGCGAGCCUCCGCGCCCGCCGUCCCCUAAAUCUAGUGGCGGUCUCGCUGUAGCUUCCUCUGCGUAGUAGCACACCUCGCACUGGGAAACAGCGCGGCCACGCCGUUAAACCACCAACUUCUGAACGUUUGACCUCGGAUCAGGUAGGAAUACCCGCUGAACUUAAGCAUAUCAAUAAGCGGAGGA
This 343-nucleotide unclassified non-coding RNA is filed under the name soil metagenome. Its description in RNAcentral is "partial contains 5.8S ribosomal RNA, internal transcribed spacer 2, and large subunit ribosomal RNA". The stretch from base 1 to 120 matches the Rfam family "5.8S ribosomal RNA", at positions 35 to 154 of the family's 154-position model. The record is from RNAcentral.